Molecule: ribosomal RNA, 498 nt
Filed under: uncultured bacterium
Lineage: Bacteria
Description: partial 16S ribosomal RNA
Rfam family: Bacterial small subunit ribosomal RNA
Source: RNAcentral
AUUGAACGCUGGCGGCAUGCCUUACACAUGCAAGUCGAACGGUAACAGGUCUUCGGAUGCUGACGAGUGGCGAACGGGUGAGUAAUACAUCGGAACGUGCCCGAUCGUGGGGGAUAACGGAUCGAAAGCUUUGCUAAUACCGCAUAAGAUCUACGGAGGAAAGCAGGGGACCGCAAGGCCUUGCGCGAACGGAGCGGCCGAUGGCAGAUUAGGUAGUUGGUGGGAUAAAAGCUUACCAAGCCGACGAUCUGUAGCUGGUCUGAGAGGACGACCAGCCACACUGGGACUGAGACACGGCCAAGACUCCUACGGGAGGCAGCAGUGGGGAAUUUUGGACAAUGGGCGCAAGCCUGAUCCAGCCAUGCCGCGUGCAGGAUGAAGGCCUUCGGGUUGUAAACUGCCUUUGUACGGAACGAAAAGACUCUGGUUAAUACCUGGGGUCCAUGACGGUACCGUAAGAAUAAGCACCGGCUAACUACGUGCCAGCAGCCGCCGUAA